RNAcentral lists this long non-coding RNA (1411 nucleotides) under Arabidopsis lyrata. Its description in RNAcentral is "long non-coding RNA (ALYR_LNC001519)". The record is from RNAcentral. Lineage: Eukaryota; Viridiplantae; Streptophyta; Magnoliopsida; Brassicales; Brassicaceae.
UUAACCCGCGGUACACCGCGGGCAUAUAUAUUAUUUGAAAUUUUUUGUUGAAUUAUUAAUUUCAAUAUUUUAGUUGAUAUCAUGUAUUUUUUCUAUUAAUUUAAAUGUAUAUAUUGAUAUAGAGAGUUGUAUAUAUCUAUAAAUGGUAGAAUAAGUCAAUUUCAAUAUCAUUUCUUAAUAAUAAUAUUUUAAAUUUGUAUUAAUGUUUACUCAAACCCGUUCCGCAAAACCCGUCCCGUGUUAUUUUAAAUUUUUGUAUAUGUUUAGAUAUUCAUUAUAUUUAAAACAUUUUAAGAGUUUAAAAUUAACUAUAUUCGACAAAAUUUAAACAGUUUAACUAAAAACCCGACGUAAACCCUAUACAAACUUUUAAAUGUGGAUGCUUGAUAAGUUAAAUUUUCUGUUCAUUCGGAUUUGGAUUGUAAAUUAAUUGUGGUUAUGAAAAAUAAACAAAAACUAUAAAUAUUAAGAAUAUAUUUAAACUAUAAAAAAUUUUAAAAUAACACGGGACGUGUAUUAUAGUUGGAUGAGAUUAUAUGGUGGGACGGGUAAGAAUCGUUAUUAAUAAAAUUUAAAAUAUUAUUAACCUGACAUUUCUAAUUUUGUUAAAUCUUUAUAUUUAUUUUGUUAACACCAUAAAUAUUAGACAUAUUGAAUUAAACUGGUCAAAAUUAAGAUUAUAUGAAACAAAAUUAUCUCCUAGUAUAUUGCGGGUUAAAUCUUAGUACUAACAUAAAUGUGGGAAAAAAAAAAAACCAGGUUUGUGAAAGGAAGAAGCUUAAUUAGUCGGUUUAAUCUCUUGGAAUGCCUUCCAUUUCGGUUAUUGUAUAAUUGGUAUUGGUACGACAAAAUCUGGUAAUUGUAAGGCAUUUUGCCAUUUCUAAAAACCUAAUCAAUCAAACACAAAUUAUCUUCAUCUUUUUCUCUCUGUCGUGUUCAUCAUUGAAUCCCAGAUUUUCCAUUAUUCUUCAACAAUUGGUGAAUUCUAGAUCGGAUAUAUCUUACAUCCACAGAUUUACUGUUUCAAAAUUGAAUUGAGGAUAAAAUACAAAGUCAAAUUAUCGAAUUAUCAAUCUCUGAUAUUUUUGCUGACUUUGAAAAUGAAAGCUAAGGGAAAGAAAGGAGAAAAACCCAACCCUAACGAAAUUCGCAUCAUUUUUGUUUUCAUUUGCAGUUGCGAAUUUUGGGAUUGGCUGAAGCAAUUCCGAUUGCACAACAAUGGCUUCUCGUAUCAUCAUCAAUCAUUCCAAAAAGGUUUCUCUUUCUCAUAUUUUUUUUUCAUUUUUCUAUGGGUUUACUUCUGUUUUUGAUCUUUUAAGUUCUUUGAUCUGGUGAAACUGAGUUUAUGCAUUUGUUUUUAAGUGUUUUGCUCUAUCAGUAAAAAAAAAUUUCUGAACUGAGUUUCGUUUAU